RNAcentral lists this transfer RNA (68 nucleotides) under Lophophorus sclateri (Sclater's monal). RNAcentral describes it as "tRNA-Gly". The record is from RNAcentral. Lineage: Eukaryota; Metazoa; Chordata; Aves; Galliformes; Phasianidae.
CUCUUCUAGUAUACUAAAUACAACUGACUUCCAUCCUUUAAAAUCUGGUAUAAACCCAGAGAAGAGCA